CCCUUAGAUGUUCUGGGCCGCACGCGCGCUACACUGAUGCAUUCAACGAGUCUACAACCUGGUCUGAUAGGGCUGGGUAAUCUUUUAAAUGUUUGUCGUGAUGGGGCUAGAUUUUUGCAAUUAUUAAUCUCCAACGAGGAAUUCCUAGUAAACGCAAGUCAUCAGCUUGCAUUGAAUACGUCCCUGCCCUUUGUACACACCGCCCGUCGCACCUACCGAUUGAACGGUCCGGUGAAAUCUUCGGACUCUGUGUUUAUUGAUUCGUUUCAAUUUACUACUGGAGAAAGUUGAGUAAACCUUACCAUUUAGAGGAAGGUGAAGUCGUAACA
RNAcentral lists this ribosomal RNA (329 nucleotides) under uncultured eukaryote. Its description in RNAcentral is "partial 18S ribosomal RNA". It matches the Rfam family "Eukaryotic small subunit ribosomal RNA", at positions 1470 to 1796 of the family's 1831-position model. The record is from RNAcentral.